ACACCUGGUCUGGGGUUCUGCACACAGCAGGUGCCCAAUGUGUGUCUGAAGGUGUGCAGCAGGUGUGAGAUGACUUACUCUGGCUCAGAAUGGGGCUGCCUCCCUCUGUCUGUAAUGUCUACAAGGAUAAAUUCUGGAUCCUCUUCUCCGAAGCUCCCAAAAGACUACAUCCUGUUAGGCCUGCACGCGGGUCACCACGCUGGGCGGUCUCUCCCACUCGAAUGUGUUGGGGAACCAGCGCCGCUGAUGGGCAUAUUGAUAUGAACAACCUGACUUGGCCAAAGCUUCCGGCCCAGCACGCUUGCCAGUUAGCUGGUUAUUCUGAGAACAUUCUUUUCAGAACACUCAACAGGACAAACAGGCGGAGAGGUUCCUUUGUCCACAGCCAGCCUCUGAAACCAAGCCGAUGCUCAAAGGGUUGAGAAGAACUAACUCCAAGGAAGGACUCGCCGGCACAGGAGGCGGAAACGUUUGAGAAUGGGGGAGGGGAGCAUGGUCCGUGACAGCACCAUGGAUCACUUGUCCUUUUACCAAAGCAGAGCUUUUAAUUCCUAAAAUAUAACAGCCUGUGCAGGAGCUUGAAGAAAGGGCUGCAUUUCCUGCAGAACUUUGCUGCCAGAUGCCCUGCCGCCGAAUGAAAGGUUUGGAUCCGGGUAGGUCUGGCUGCUUUUCGGCCUCUGCUUCCCUUUUCAUCUGCUGCCUCCCUGGGCACCAGGCAGCCUGCUGGGGUCGGGGCUGUGGCUGCCCUUGGUCCUCUUGGAGCUGUGCUUGCCAUGGGGUGGGAGAGCUUGCUUUAUACUGCAGAAAGUCUUUCUGAAUCCUGGAAACCAACUGCGUAUUUGCACCCUGCCUCCUCCGUCGGUGAUCCCCACUCACUUUGUUACUGAAGAGCUGUGCAUCUUCGCUCUUUUCUCUCCGAGGCCUUUUAUGAAAAGGAAAGGGAGGCUCACUGGCAUCCGAUCGGCCCAGCUUUCCUGUCUGCUUUUGCCCUUUGCAGCUGUGUGGUCUUGGACUAGUGGCUGCACCUCUCUGGGCCCUGGCAAAAUGGGAAACUAAGCAUCUGCCUCAUGGGACUUUUAAAGAAGAUUAAAGAUGCCCAGACAAGGUGUUGACACGCUGCGAAUGGCCAAGGUUUCCCUAGCGCUUCAUAAGCACCAGGCUCCAUUCUAAGAGCCUUACCGUCGAGUAUUUGCUUUUCACCAAAACUCUGAGAUGGUGCUAUCAUGGGUCUCAUUUUACCGAAGGGGUAAUGAAGGCCCGAAGAAGGCGAAUCGCUCUGCCAGGGUUGUGCACUGGGGGAGCCCGAUGUUGAACCUCAGCAGGCAGGCUCCAGAGCCCACACCCAUAAUUUUGACUUAAAUCUGUAUGGACCACAUGGUAGCCUGAUUCUCUUGCUUGGUAAUAUGCCCCUUGCGAUGGAGGGUCUGCUCCUCCCUAUCCUCAUCGGUGAUCACGGAUGUCGCCAGUCACCCUCCCUGUCACACAGACCCUCACCCACUAGUGCAUCCGAUCCCGAAAUACUGCAUUUUCCUCAGUGGGGUCCUCUCCGUUGGUGCCUUUUGUCCCCAUUGGAACCUAGGGAUGUGGAUUCUCUGAGAGACAAAGACAUUUUUUUUUUAAUCUUGUUAUUGAUCUAUUUUUUGGCCUCACGUGCAGCCUGUGGCAGUUCCCGCACCAGGGAUUGAGCCCGAGACACAUCAGUGACCCAAGCCUCCACAGUGACAACACCGGAUCCUUAACCCGCGGCACCACCAGGGAACUCCCAACAAAGACAUUAUUAAAAUCAUUGCUGUCUGUUGCCAAAACGCUUUGGGAAAAUCUCGAGGCCAGAGGGCUGGGCCGCGGGCAGCCAGAAGUGUGGGGAGCAGCUCUGGGGGGAGUGGCUUCACGCUCCGUGGCCACCACGUGGCAGAGCAGCACCUCCCCUCGCAGGGCUGUUGUCAGACUUGGAGGUGAUGCUGUGUGAGGGGUGUGGCCCCUGCCUACCCAGGCCCGGGGCAGUGACAUCCACAGGUGUCACCCCUCGAGGCACAUAACACGAACUAAGAACUAAUAUUUAUCUUGUGGGUGAACGAGGCAGCCAGGACUUUGGGGGCCCCUGGAAGUGGUCUGAAGACUCACUGGGGUCUUCUUGGGGGUGUCUGCCUGGAAGUCCCUGCUCCCUGGCAUGAUAGCCGUGCCACCUCAGGACCUUCUCCAUCCAGCUUCUCUAAUCCCGCCCUGGCCCGAGGCAGCGCCAGGCAAGGUGAAUUCUCACAUCUGGCUCCUGGCUCAGCUGGAUCUGAUAACAGACCAAUUCCAGAUAAACAGAGGAUGGAAGAUG
This 2323-nucleotide long non-coding RNA is filed under the name Sus scrofa (pig). RNAcentral's name for it is "lncRNA (ENSSSCG00005013854.1)". Lineage: Eukaryota; Metazoa; Chordata; Mammalia; Artiodactyla; Suidae. The record is from RNAcentral.